UACGAAGGGGGCUAGCGUUGCUCGGAAUCACUGGGCGUAAAGCGCACGUAGGCGGAUUGUUAAGUCGGGGGUGAAAUCCUGGAGCUCAACUCCAGAACUGCCUUCGAUACUGGCGAUCUUGAGUCCGGGAGAGGUGAGUGGAACUCCGAGUGUAGAGGUGAAAUUCGUAGAUAUUCGGAAGAACACCAGUGGCGAAGGCGACUUACUGGACACAUAUUGACGCUGAGGUGCGAAAGCGUGGGGAGCAAACAGG
This 253-nucleotide ribosomal RNA is filed under the name uncultured bacterium. Its description in RNAcentral is "partial 16S ribosomal RNA". It matches the Rfam family "Bacterial small subunit ribosomal RNA", at positions 524 to 776 of the family's 1533-position model. The record is from RNAcentral.